This is a small nucleolar RNA of Coturnix japonica (Japanese quail), 132 nucleotides long. Its record names the gene SNORA71. It matches the Rfam family "Small nucleolar RNA SNORA71". From Rfam's summary of the family: The members of this family belong to the H/ACA class of snoRNAs which bind a number of proteins (including dyskerin, Gar1p and Nop10p) to form snoRNP complexes. This class of snoRNAs are thought to guide the sites of modification of uridines to pseudouridines by forming direct base pairing interactions with substrate RNAs. The record is from Ensembl. Lineage: Eukaryota; Metazoa; Chordata; Aves; Galliformes; Phasianidae.
ACCUGCAUUCGAAAGUGAUCGUGGUCUGUUGUGUGAUCCGGUCAUUGAUAGUGCAGGGAGAGCGAUGUGAAAGCGUUUCCCGUGUUUGGAUGGGGCUGUGCCAUCCCUUCCGAACCCUGUUGCGUUCAGACA